UCUAAUAUGGCAGAACAUAUGCUUUGGAUUUAAACCCCAACUAUAAAGAUUUAUCUUUUUUUAGAA
This 66-nucleotide transfer RNA is filed under the name Phryganea cinerea. Its description in RNAcentral is "tRNA-Leu". The record is from RNAcentral. Lineage: Eukaryota; Metazoa; Arthropoda; Insecta; Trichoptera; Phryganeidae.